GUUUUGUUUGUAUUUAUAGAAUACAGGGAAAUAGGAUUGCUAUUAAUAGAAUUCGGGGAAACCUGGGUUUAUUUUCAAUUUCGAAAUCGAAGAAAUAUGACGGACAUAACGCAAGAAAUCGAUUUGCUAAGUGAAGAAAAUGAGAAACUUCGAUAUCAAGUGUUCUGCAAGACCUCGGGUUGCACGGAAGUCGUAUCUGCGGUGUAUGCUCCAUGUGGACACCUCAUCAACUGCUCAAAGUGUGCAAAUGCUCAUAAGUAUUGUCCAUGUUGCCAUACGGAAGUAAAGAAAGUGAUUCAAGUAAACUUGAAAUGACUUGGUAUAAUAUGGUAUGUCCAGCUGAGUCGAAAAGACUAUGUAUAAUAUGAACACUCAAUUAUAGUAUUGUGUGAAACAUUUUACAUAUAGUUGCAUUUUAAGGGAAAUAAAAAUCAGAGAACCAUAUUUGUACAUCUUGAGAUACAAGGAUAAAAAUUGACCGAUUUUAAAUUAUAUAUUAAACCUAUUUGAAAUCUGA
Long non-coding RNA from Magallana angulata, 517 nucleotides. RefSeq lists it as uncharacterized. The transcript has 2 exons. NCBI's taxonomy places the organism in Eukaryota, Metazoa, Mollusca, Bivalvia, Ostreida, Ostreidae. The record is from RefSeq and is a predicted model, not a curated record.